RNAcentral lists this long non-coding RNA (444 nucleotides) under Oryctolagus cuniculus (rabbit). Its description in RNAcentral is "lncRNA (ENSOCUG00000034652.1)". The record is from RNAcentral. Lineage: Eukaryota; Metazoa; Chordata; Mammalia; Lagomorpha; Leporidae.
AUGCCGAUGGCACAAGGCCUCUGGGUCACCUGGUGUGGUUGGCAACUCCCUGGUAUCGGUGUACUUCAUCAACACUGGCUGCACGUACGCUCACUCAUUUGCCCCGAGUUCCAGAACACUGCCCUGCCAGGCCUUUCAAACGAGCUGCCCUUUCCACCGCUGGUAUUCAGGAAGAUUCCAGGCCACACAGCGAGUAACGUCCAUGAACCAAGUUCCUGUAUUACAACUGCCAGCCCAGGACUCCGGGAAUUUCAUGUCGGGCCCUAUUACUUAAUUCUAACAAAUGAAGGCUCAUUUUGGUCACCAUCAUUCAUGUCACAGAAGAAUUUGCAUUUCACUGACCUUCAGCACAGAUUGAAUACAGAGCUCCCCAGCAGCAGAGACCGCACUGGACACCCCCAAGACCACAUGAUGAGAGGACCCAAGCUAAGCCCGGACUCCUAG